AGAGUUUGAUCCUGGCUCAGAUUGAACGCUGGCGGCAGGCCUAACACAUGCAAGUCGAGCGGAUGAAAGGAGCUUGCUCCUGAAUUCAGCGGCGGACGGGUGAGUAAUGCCUAGGAAUCUGCCUGGUAGUGGGGGACAACGUUUCGAAAGGAACGCUAAUACCGCAUACGUCCUACGGGAGAAAGCAGGGGACCUUCGGGCCUUGCGCUAUCAGAUGAGCCUAGGUCGGAUUAGCUAGUUGGUGAGGUAAUGGCUCACCAAGGCGACGAUCCGUAACUGGUCUGAGAGGAUGAUCAGUCACACUGGAACUGAGACACGGUCCAGACUCCUACGGGAGGCAGCAGUGGGGAAUAUUGGACAAUGGGCGAAAGCCUGAUCCAGCCAUGCCGCGUGUGUGAAGAAGGUCUUCGGAUUGUAAAGCACUUUAAGUUGGGAGGAAGG
This 441-nucleotide ribosomal RNA is filed under the name uncultured Pseudomonas sp. Its description in RNAcentral is "bacterial SSU rRNA". It matches the Rfam family "Bacterial small subunit ribosomal RNA", at positions 8 to 451 of the family's 1533-position model. Lineage: Bacteria; Pseudomonadati; Pseudomonadota; Gammaproteobacteria; Pseudomonadales; Pseudomonadaceae. The record is from RNAcentral.